This 17-nucleotide ribosomal RNA is filed under the name Erysiphe macleayae. Its description in RNAcentral is "partial 28S ribosomal RNA". RNAcentral also lists the same sequence under 2 other names. Lineage: Eukaryota; Fungi; Ascomycota; Leotiomycetes; Helotiales; Erysiphaceae. The record is from RNAcentral.
UUGACCUCGAAUCAGGU